Molecule: long non-coding RNA, 11162 nt
Filed under: Capsicum annuum
Lineage: Eukaryota; Viridiplantae; Streptophyta; Magnoliopsida; Solanales; Solanaceae
Description: long non-coding RNA (CANN_LNC017182)
Source: RNAcentral
GUAGAUGUCCGGAUGUGUCAGCGGUCGUCCAAUAGUACUGUGAUGGCGGUGGUACGGUGAUAGGAGCAGAAUGAGUCGGUGUGGACCCAUAAAGUAUCCCCAUAUACAUAGGAGUAGGAACCAAAUGCUGAGACGGCCUAGAAUAUGAGGGUCGUGCUGGCACAUCAGCAAACCGACCCUCAGAUAUAUGAAUACCUGUCGGCCGUCUAUAAUGCAGAGGUUAUUUUUUCUUUUUUGUUUUAGUAGGAUCAACUUUCCCUUACCUUUGUCACAUCUACCAGACAAUUAUGUAAAGUUAACAAGUAGUUAGUUUCUACAAAAUGAAUACAUAAGAAAACAUUUCAAGUAACUAAUUUCAAGUUACUAAUUCACAUUUCAAAUCGCUCCAACAACACGAGAUAGACAAAAAUAUUUUUAUUACUAUAUAAAUUAUGGAAAAGUGAAAACAAUAAUCUUAAAGAGUAUAUUACAUAUCAAUCUUAAACAAGAAACAUAAAGGUAAAUAUAUAGUACAAAACAUAAAGACAUCAAUACAUAAUAAAUACAACCUACACAAACUAAUCCUCCUCUUCUGAAGACUCUCCACUAAAUCAUUCACACUCUUCGAAAUUUUCCUCAUCUCCUACCCACUUAGCCUCUUCUUUUGCAAUAUUAACUUCUUCAAAUAUAUUUUUCGGGUGAUUCAAACUAUCCACUAAGUCAAUGUCCACUAGCUGGUGAUCAAUCUGCAUUUUAUUUUAAUACGCAGUCUUAAGCACAUUCUCAACUUCCACCCAUCCGAUAGGCUUUGUUUGAUUACAGCCCACCAAUCAGACUUAUCAUUGCGCAAUGGAUAAGGAGCAUAAUACACUUGUUUAGCAUUUUGUGCCAUAACAGAUAGAUCAUAAACAGGAUACGACCUAUCGUACUUCACUUCAAUGAUGUUAUGCUCCUUAUGUACUCUUGUGCCUCUUGUGCUUGGAUCAAACCACUUACAUCGAAAGAGGACAAUUUUUUUAUUGAAAAACCAGCAUACUUCAAUUCUAAGAUCUCGUAUAUGAUGCCAAAGUAAUCAACAUCAUUAUCACCCUUGACCCAAACACCACUAUUGUUUAUUUUUCUUGUUCUGGAGUGUUUUUUGGUGGAAAAUUUAAACCCAUUUACUAUGUAAUGGGACAUUGCAUGAGCUUCAACUGGACCCAAAGAAAUAUCUCUCAAGAGCUGAUCGUAUGCGGCUGGAUUGGGUGACUGGUGUACCUAAAAAUAUUAUACAUAUAUAUAUAUAUAUGUUAGUUGAGGAAUGUGUAAAUGUUUAAAAUUUGUAGAAAUAUUAAUACACUUACGGACCUCAUAUGUAAAUCAUGUUGCAAAGAAUGCAUACACUUGGUUUUCGUGAAAUUAAGUCUUAAAUGAACUGAAGAUGCAACAUGCGAAACACAAUUAGUUUCUUUAAGGGAAUGAGUAAAUAAAUAAGAUAUGCUAAAAUUUUAAUCUCCUUACUUCAGAAAAGGCUCAACUUCCGGGCAAUUCAGCAAGACAUACAAAGUUGUUGAUUUACGCUCCGUGGGAGUGAGCCGACGACGUAUGGUCUUUUUAGCCUUACAAUUAGAUUGAUUGAAAAUUGAUAUCGGUUGCAAAUGAGGCUCAUUCACAUCGUCCUAAUGACGAUUCGGUCGGUUUCUUGAACAAACAACUUCAUAACGGAAGUAGUAUAAAUAAAAUUGAGAUGUUUAUCUUGCAAGAUAUGCCUCAACUAUAGAGUCUUCCACCCUAUGUUUGUUUUUGGGACUCCUUUUCAAUUUCCCAAUUGUCCUGCACAAUCUUAAGAUUAGAUGUUUACUAUAUUGAAAAAAGAUAUGUAUGAAUUUAAAUAUGUUGCAAUUGUUUAUCGUUCGAAUAGAUACAUCCACCUAAUUUGAACUGGACCGCCUAGUCGAGUUUCGUGCACAAGGUGAAUGGGAAGAUGUUCCAUCAUAUCGAAGAACACUGGCAGAAAAAUCUUCUCUAACUUCAUGUUGAUAACAACAAUAUUACUUUUCAUUUGUACCAGAUUUUCUUCUUUUAAUGUGGUGGCACAUAAAUUUUUGAAGAACAAACUGAUCUCUACUAUUGGUUUCCAUAUGUUUUCAGGUAAACCAAUAAAAGCAAUGGGAAGUAAUUGUUCCAUGAAAACAUGGCAAUCAUGACUUUUCAUUCCAUGUAAGAUUCCUUGUGCCAUAUCAACCCUCUUUCCUUGUGCCAUAUCAACCCUCUUUCCUAAAUUUGAGGCAUAUCCAUGGGCAUCUUCAAACUUUCGACCAACUCACAUAUUUGACGUUUUUGGUCCAACUUGAAUAUAAAACUAGCCUUGGGCUUAAUAACAUUGACAUUGGGCCCCUCCUGUAAGUGUAAUUCUGUACGUUUGCAAUAUUCUGGUAAGUGAAGUCUGGCCUUAGAAUUAUCCUUUGUUUUGCAGGUGACAUCCAUAACUGUGUUGAACAAGUUGUCAAAAUAGUUCUUCUCAGUAUGCAUGACAUCAAUAUUAUUUCUAAGUAAAUUAUCUGGCCAAUAUUCUAACUCUCAAAAUAUACUUUGCUUAGUCCAAUUAUGCAAAACGUCAUAUCCAUCAAGUCUGUACAAUGGUUCCUCGCUGACUUUAGGCAAAUCCUAAACUAUCUCCCAGAUGUCAUGUCCAGACAACCUUGAAGGUGGACCAUCAUGUUCUCUUCUAUUCCUUCUGAAUGCAUUCUUGAGUCUCUUAAAUUCACGAUCAGGUAGCAAGAAACAACGAUGACAAUCAAACCAUGAUUUUUCCUACCAUGUCUCAAUGUGAAAGAUUUUGUUUUUUCUAUGCAGUAUGGACAAGCCAACUUUUCAGCUAUCAUCCACCCAAACAACAUUCCAUAAGUAGGAAAAUCAUUAAUAGUUCACAUUAGAUAUGCACGCAGAUUGAAAUUCUGUUUAAGUGAGAUGUCCCAAGUUUCAACCCCCUCAUGCCAUAAAAUUUGAAGUUCAUCGAUCAAAGGUUGCAAGUAGACAUCUAUUUCGCUUUUUGAAUUACGUGGACCAGGAACAACACAAUUCAAAAAUAUAUAAGGACUAGUCAUCAAUAUUUCAGGAGGAAGAUUAUAUGGGGUGAUAAAUACAGGCCAACAUGAAUAUGGCACAGUACUAACUGAAAAAGGAGAGAAGCCAUCCGCACAUAAUCCCAAACGAAUAUUUCGUGGCUCAGCUGCAAAAUCUGGAUAAGUUGCAUCAAAAAGCUUCCAAGCCUCUCCAUCAGAUGGAUGGCACAUAACACUAGUGGGCCUUCUAUUUUCACUGUGCCAUCUCAUAUGAGGAGCUGAGCUGUUUGAAGCAUAAAACCUUGGUAUUAAAGGUAAAUAAUGCAUUGCCUUAAUAGUAAUUUUAUUUCCACUACAACCAUGCUUAUAUCGAGGGUGCUGACAAAACUUUCAGGAAUCUAGGUUAGCAUUUUUCUUAAAGUAUAACAUGCAGCCAUUUUCACAACAAUCAAUUCUAACUGAGGAGAGACCUAACUUUGACACCAAUCUUUUUGCCUUAUAGAAAGAAUCAGGAACCUCCAAGGUGGGGUCAACUAACUAUUUAAUAAGGUCUAUCAUUGAGUUCAUUCCUCCUUCAGUAAUAUUCCGAUCAGAUUUAAUACUUAAUAAUCUAACAGCAAUAGAUAAACGAGAGUGCGAACACCCGUCAAACAAAGGAUGACUAGAGGCAUGCAAUUGUUCAUAGAAUUUGCUUACUUCACUCUUAGGAACAUCUUCGACAUUUUCCCUAAAGUCACCCUCGUGUUGCAUCCCAAAAGCAUCGUGCAUCAUUUCUGUCAUCCUAGUAUCUUGAUAUUUAUUAUGCCCUGCAGACCUACUACUUACUCCAACAACAAAGUUAUUUUGCCCAACAUCACCAUCAAUAGCACGCAAUCUUAAAAAGUCCUCGUGAAAUCCUUUUCUAUAAAGAUGUUCUUCAUAACUUCUUCUUUUAAAAGAUUUAUACCAUCACAUCUAACACAAGGACAACGAAAAUCCCCAAAACGUGACCAAACAUCAAGUGUCUUAGCAUGUUCAACAAAUCAUCUGACACCUCCAACAAAUUCCUCCCUAAGACCCAUUCUAUUUUUAUUAUUCUGUUGAUAUAUCCAGCUAUAAUCAAGUUUCAUCUACACAAUCAAUCAGAUUUAAUUAAUUAGAUCAAUUCACAAAAAAGUUAAGCAAGUCACCAAACUUAACUACAUUCAAAACAAAAAAUUCACAUUUAAAGUACCUAAACUUCAACAUUUCAACUCACUAAGUCAUCACCCAAGUCACCAAACUUAAUUACAUUCAAAACAAAAAUUCACUUGUAAAGUACCUACACUUAGUAAAUUUUAAUUCACUAAGUAACCACCCAAGUUACCAAACUAAACCACAUAUUCACCUUUAAAGUACCUACACUUUAUCAAUUUCAAGUGACUAAGUCACCUACCAAGUCAUCAAACUUAACUACAUUCAAAACAAAAAAUUCACCUUUAAAGUACCUACACUUGGUAAAUUUCAAAUCACCAAGUCAUCACCCAAGUCACCAAACUAAACCACAUUCAAAACAAAAAUUCACCUUUAAAGUACCUAUACUUAGUAAAUUUCAACUCACUAAGUAAUCAUCCAAGUCACUAAACUAAACCACACUCAAAACAAAAAUUCACCUUUAAAGUACCUACACUUUAUCAAUUUCAAGUGACUAAGUGAUACAAGCACAAGGAGCAUCAAAAACACAAAGUAUGGUCUAAGGGUCAAGGCUUUGGAAUUAGCAAGCAAUUGAAGACUUUUUGAAGUAUUUUGAAGCCUUGGUCAAGAGAAGGAAGAAAGGGAACUUAUACACUCAAGAGGCACCUCAAUUGAAGGGCAUUGAAGUCAUUAUGCACUCCAAAACAACACUCAAGAGGCGCCCCAAAUUCCUUCCCUCAUUAAGGGCUUCUUUGUCCAUUAAAUGUAAUAGUAGAAAUAGACCAUUUUACUUCUCUUUUUAUUAGACUUUGAUGAAAUUGGAUAUCACUCUUAUAUUGUAGUUUUUAGUCUCUAGUUUUAGAUCUUAGAAUCUGAAAAUUAGUCCAAGAACAUUUGAAGUUAGGGUUUCACUUGUUUUGGAUAAUUGGCAAGAAAGGUGUACUUGAGGAAGAGUGUUUCCUUUGGGUCACCUAAGAGGAAGGUUUGAACUCUUAUUUGUGAGGUGUGUUGAAGAUUUUGAAACAUCUUUUAGUUCUAAUCAUUGAAUAGGAGUAAGGGUCUUUCUAUCUAUCUUUUAAUUUCAAGCAUUCUUCUUCUUCAUCUCCAUUCUAUGUGUUGUCUUCUCUUUAUUUUGGUUGCUGAAAUUUGCAUCUUAGUAACCAAUUUUGUGUGUUUGGUAGUAUUUAGGCUAUCAUUUGGUAUCAAAACAUUGGUUAGGGUUGUUUCAACAUUCCUAAAUCUUGGUUUUAGUGUUCUUAUUUAGAAAAUCUCAACAAAAAAGAGUCAAAAAUCAGAAAAUACAAAAAAAAUGGUGUCUAGUGUUGUCUUGUGUUAGAUCUGAAUUUAGAUCUGAAUUUAGAGUCUUAGAUCUACAAGAUUUUACUUUGUUUUGAAGGUUUCUUGUGUUAGAUUCCUGUUCUCUAACAUCGAGGGUGUCUAGAUCUACUUUUAGAGUGAAGUUUGGUUGAAUUUGAGCUAGAUCCACUAUUGUUGUGCUUUGUUUGAAGCUUUUGAGAUGGGAUCUCGUUUUUUGUCAUCUUGUUUGUGGCAUUUUGUGGCUGAUUUUAUGUUGGUUGUGUUUGUCUUGGCCUAAGGAACCUAGGUCUAAAAGAAAAUUCAGAUUUGGAGUUCUUUUGCUUGUUGGUCAAACUUGGUCAACACUUGAAUAUUCAUCUUGUUCAUCCAUGAUCUUCAUAUCUUAGUGAAGAAGAAAAUUCAAAGUGUUUGUUUGAUCCAAAAGAAGGGGAAAAAAAGAGUGUGCUUGUUGUUUGUCCAAGAAUAUUCCCUAGUAUAUUCCUAAUCCAUCCAAAAGAAGAGGGGGACCAAAGGACAAAUCAAGUACAGUUGCAAUUAAUUGGGGGGGACCAUUUCAUUUCAAUUUCAUUUAGAGGCUUAAAAGGGCUCCAAAUUGUUUACUUACCCCCUCAAAUCUAAAAAUUCUUCUUUCCAAAGUUGAUACUUGGCCGAAACAUGAGAUUGGGAAAUGAAAAAUUCAAAAAAGAGACAACCAACCACGUAGUGCGAUGUCAUCACUUGUGAUCAACUAAAUUCAUCUCUAAAAUUAGAUUUUUUUUCUUAGUUUCUCUUUUUUUAUUCUAGUUCCUUGUGUGUUAAACUUUAUCACUAAUUAGCAAACUAGUAACUACCUAUUAGGUUGAUAAUUAGUCUUGGGUCUGUUUGUUUUGUGUCUUCAAUUUUUUGUGUGCUUUUCUCAUUUUUAAGUCGUAGUAUUUUGUUGGUUCAAGUCCGUGCAGCACUUUAUUUGAGUUGUUUCAAACAAAGAUCGAUUCCGAUCCAAAGCUUCUCACCUCUCAAGUGACUUGACAAGUAUUGCCGAUUCCCCAACACUUGUGAAGCCAAGUGUGAGGUGAGGUUGAAUGUGAGUGAAGUGAGGCUUUUGAACUAACUUGUUUUCUCGUUUUGUAGGAUUUUUUUUGUUUACUAUUUUUUUGCUCUUUUAGGUACAUUCGCCUUGGAAUCCGGAGAUACUACUUCCCAACCUUUGGGAAAUGAUGCUAUUGGAGACUUGAUGGCUCGGUUUGAUGCCCUUGCCCGAGAAAUGAAGAAUGAUAAUGAUGCCUUGAGAAGUAAUGUGGAUGCUAUGAGGGAUGAAAUGGUGACUAUGAAGGGUGAAAUUUCCACUUUUAGUGGAAGACUUGAUCGUGUUGAAAGUAGGAGGAACUUACGACCUUCUACUCCUAUUCCCUACCAUGCAUCCUCUAGUGUCCAAGCCAAUAACUCUUCCAUGACUAUAACCCCCGAAACCCUCCACCAAAUGCUUAAUCCAGCCAAAUGCUCCACAAAACCAGCCACUAAAUCCACCCCAAACCUCUCCUAACUGAACCCUACAAAGACUACUACAUUCCCAAAUGAACCAAGUCCAACAAGAGGGACUUGGAACUCAAACUCCACCACACAAUCCGAACUAAAUACCUCCACGAAACACCACCUACCAAAUUCCAAAUCCCAUGGACCAAAGACCUUACCAACCACCACCUCCAAUACCACAAGUCCAAGCUCCAAAUAACCAAAGACUAAAUCCACCUCCCCAAAUACCCCAAAUCCAAAACCAAUACCUUUAUUUUGAGGAUUAUGGUAGAGAGGAGUAUGAAGGUUAUGAAGUUCCUCAUGGUGAUUAUUGGUUCCUUGAAUAAGAAAUGAGGGCAAGACAUGAACAAAGAGGGCAUUAUGGAAGAUUCUGAGGGCAUGAGGCAAGACAAGGCCACAUUGAACAUCCAAGAAUCCGAGACAUUGGCAUUAAUUCAAUCAAGGUUGGCAUUCCAAUUUUCAAAGGUGAGAGUGAUCCGAAAGUGUACUUAGCUUGGGAAUCCGCUUGUGAAAAAAUCUUUCAAGUGAAUGACCUUUCCGAAGAAAAAAGAAGUUGUUAUACUAUUGCUCACUUUCAAGGAUAUACAAACACUUGGUGGGAUUACACCAAAAGAUUUGGUAAUGUGUUGAUUGGUGGCCAACUACCUCCUUGGGAGGAGUUGAAGAGACUAAUGAGAGAGAGAUAUGUUCCGGAACACUAUAGACAUGAGCUUCUUUCCAAACUCUACAAUUUGAGGCAAGGAAGCAAGAGUGGCAUGGCCUACUAUGAUGAGUUCCAACAACUUGUUUUAAAACUUGACCAUAGAGGUGAACAAGUGCAACAUGAUGUCAUACGCUUCAAGGUUGGGUUGAAUAGAGACAUAUCAUCCCAUUUGACUCUUCACAAGUUUGAAACCAUGGUUGAAAUCUUCUAAGAGGAUAUGGAAAUUGAGAAAGAGAACAAGAAAAAAUACAAGCCAAAGGUCCCCUACACCUCAUUGGAUUGGUCCAAAGAAAAGGGCAUGGUCUUGGCAUCUAUGGCUCCUCCUCAAGCCAUUAUCAAGGCUUCCCAACAUCAUCCUCCAAAGCUUGAAGGUAAACCAACUUCUACUUCUCAUUCUAAGGUUCUACAAUGUUUCAAGUGUCAAGGUUAGGGUCAUAGGGCACGUGAGUGUCCUAACCGACAUAAUGUUAUUCUAAGGGAGGGGAAGUUGUACUAUCUUGGUGAAGAAGUGGAGUUGGAAACCGAGGAGAAUGAUGACAACUCUCAAGAUAGAGAGUGCAUAGAACCUGAAGUUAAAGGUGAGGGUAGUGAAGAAGAUAUGUUUCCUUAUGAAGGAGAAUGUGAUGUGCCUAGUUAUGUUGUUAGGAGAACUUUGUUUAGUAAGGUCUUGGAUGAUCAAAGAUAGAACCUCUUUCAUACUAAGUGCCUUAUUAAAGGAAGUUUGAAUUCAAUGAUCAUAGAUAGUAGGAGUUGUGUGAAUAUUGUUAGUGUCACCUUGGUUGACCACUUGAAACUAGCCACUAUCCCUCACCCGAAUCCAUACAAGCUUCAAUGGUUAAACAAGUGUGGUGAAUUGAAGGUCAAACGACAAUGUGUGAUUAGAUUCAAGAUAGGGAGUUAUCAUGAUGAAGUUUUAUGUGAUGAAAUACCUAUGCAAGCAUGUCACAUAUUGUUGGGAAGACCUUGGCAAUUUGAUAGGCACACUAGAUGAAAGAUCUAAUAGGUACACCUUUGUGCAUGGUGGACGAAAGUUCACUCUUCUCCCUCUUCCACCAUCUAGUGUGAAUGAAAUCCAAGAGAAAAUCAAGAAGUUGGAUGAGAAAAGAAAAAAUAAAAAGGGAGGGGAAGUUUCAGAUUGUGAGAAAGGAAAGGGGAAAACAACUUUGUUUGUGGAACUUGCGCACAAAGGUCCCUUGAUACUCACUAACCCAAAGUCUAGCAUUUUACCUAGCCUUAAUACUCCUUAUUUUCAGGUUCAAGCUCAUGAAUUAUCAAAGUAGGAUCAACAAGAAAUCUCACAUGAAAGUAGCCUCAAAACAACCUUGGCUGAGAGUUUCAAAAUAGUGGAAUAUCCUAGUACAAACCAAGGUAAUAAUGCUACUCCCUAUGUUUCCUUGAGCUUAAAUUAUUGUCAUGUGAUUCCUUAUGUAGAGGUUUCGAAAAUCCUUGAUGUAGGUGUGUAUGUUUCUUCUCUUGUUAGCUCUCUUGAUAUGUAUAGUAAACCAUGCGCACCUAAGAUUAAUCCACUACUUGAACAUGAGAAUAGUGUGAUUGGAAACUUCCAAGUUAGUGUUGAUGUUAGUAAUGAUGGUCUUGAUAUUCAACAUGGUCAAUUAAACUUGUGUAUAAAAGCUAUUAUAUUAAUCUUGUUCAUAGUGACCUUGUGUUUGUCCUAGUGGUGGAUAAUGUCUUGAAUGAUUGUGAACUUGGUAACCUAGUGAAAGGAAUGGGCCAUCUAGACUUAAACCUUUACCAUUUGCUCCCAUUUGACCUCAACAUACUCUUGAGAUGUGAGGGUUAUAGUUACUGGCCGUGCUAACUUAUUCUUGAUAUUGAGGCUAUUCAUGUCUUUGGUACCCAUUAUGCUAAGCUUUUUAUGUUAAAAACCAAGGAUUUGUGGAUGUAUGUCAAGUGUGAGUAACCAUGGGUUGAUGAUAUAAGUGUGGUACUAAUGCUAACACUCCUACCAAGGGGAUUUUGUGUUUGUUUUUGCUCUCUCUUUGAUUUUGCAAGAUCUGAAUUUGAGGACAAGGUGUGGAGGAUGUGGAUUAGGGUAGAGGGCUAGUGGGUAGGAGUAUGUCCUUGCUAGUAGGAAGGAGUGCUUUAUGUAGUUGUGCUUGUAGUCGUUGUGUUAUACAUGUCUUGUAGUUUCUUGUUCGUGGUGUUUUGACGAUGCUUGUGAUUUCGGAUAGAUAGUUUAUAGUAUUACUCAAUGGGUGUCUUGUUUCUUUUACUAUCUAGUGGUGUGCUAUCCUAUUCUGUUAUUUGUUUUUAUGUUUGUUACACUGUUAUUUUUCUUGAGUUGGGGGUCUAUCGUAACCAACCUCUCUACAUUUGAGGUAGUAGUAUGGCCUGUGUACACUUUACCCUUCUCAGACCCCACCUUGUGGGAAAUAUGUUGGGUAUGUUGUUGUUGUAAUUUUGAAAGAUGGACUCUAUGGUUUAAAAAACGUGAACAUUAAGGGUUAAAACAAACUCUCACUUCCAGAAGUUUAUUUUUAAAAAAUGCACAUUAGGAUUUAAAAGAACACCUAAUUUCGAAAUUUUGUUGAUUUUUUGUGUGUUUACUUUCUUAUAUUGACAGUCCUUAAUAAAAUUUUGGCUCCACCACUGAUCAUUACGUGCAACAACAAUCCGGAAAAUGGAUCUUUGAAAUAGAAUUUAAAAAUUGAUGAAGUGUAAUAGCAUGUAGUUGCUCAUAUAUAGGAUCCAAUCUUUGACAUUAUGUGACUACUCAGCAUGUGAUAUUACACUUCUAGCGCAGAUUUACUUGUUUGUUUAAGGUAAAUUAGUCAAGCUGGGAGAGGUUUUGCUAGCUUUUACAAAUUGUGGGAUAGCAACCAUAUUUCAUGUUUUUUACGAAAUUAGACUAAAACAUGAAUAUCAUUCCAAACAUCUUUUUGCAAAAACUAUAACCAAACACACUCCAUCUUCAAUUCCAACUUCAAAUAUUCCAAAAAGUGAAAACUAUUGGAAUCUAUGGCCAAAUGUUAACUUGUUAUUUCUUUUUUAUUUGCCUAUCCAGACUAAGACGACAACCGGAGAGGAAUAAAUAGAAAGUCCCUUCAUCUCCACAUACUCUUGAUUAGAAUAUGGAGAAGCAACUGUUAAUACUUGUUUAAUUGUCUAGACCGUAUAAUCAUCUUUUCUUGUUAAAAUACUCUUUCUUAAUAUGUAAAAGAUGAGUUCAUUAGUAAAUAACGACAAUAAGUAGGUGUCUCUUGUUGAAAUACUUGAUGACAACAUAAUACACGAAAUAUAACCACCCAAUGAGGAAGCUUAACUAAGAAGAAUGACAUUGACAUAUGACGUUACCAAAAAGACAGUUAAAAUAAGAUGAUUACUAUAGAUUUUAUGAAAUAAAAAUGCUAUUCAAACCUCAGCUACAGCAGUGCUUUGAUGAUGAAUUUGUUGGCCAAUACCACAAAGUGCAUUAGAAACCCAUGAAUGAAUUA